Molecule: long non-coding RNA, 1224 nt
Organism: Branchiostoma floridae (Florida lancelet)
Lineage: Eukaryota; Metazoa; Chordata; Leptocardii; Amphioxiformes; Branchiostomatidae
Exons: 2
Source: RefSeq, a predicted model, not a curated record
ACAAAAAUGCCCUUAUUUUUUUUCUUUCCAGCCCUGCAAAACCAACAUCAUCUCCUUCCUGCAGCAGCAGGUUCUGAUUGUGGGCGGGAUCGGCAUCGGCAUCGGCCUUACUCAGCUGAUCGGGAUGAUUUUUGCCUGCUGCUUGUUCCAUGCGAAGGGAAAAGAGAGCGACAUCGUGUGAACUACAGUCACUACAGGAGAUUGGAGUGUCCAAAAUUAUGUCCGCAGUAUCUAGAAAGUUCUUAUCUUUUCAACAAAGUUGUAUCGAGAUUUAUCAUCUUAUGCUGAGUAUUUUGGAUGGAUAGAAUGUAUUACAAGGAAUAAGACAAAAAGUAAGAAUGUAUUACAAGGAAUAAGAAAAAAUCUUUGUAGAUAAUUGUAGGUGUUUGAGCUAACUUGAGUGAAUCGUUUAUGAUUAUAAUCCAUCAGAUGUUAUGAACCAAGCAGGAAGGGUCGUAGGACACACAUCGCACAAGGAAGUUUAAGAAAACACAUAGGAAGAAUCAUCUGGGCAUUCAUCUGGGCACAGUUAUCAAAGUAAGGCUUUUUUGUUUCACCAGCAGUACAUUCUCAAGGCAAUGACUUGUUUUGAAACAACAAUUAUUCACUGGUGUUUCCACAUAAUCCCCUACGACUCUUCCUGACAAUCUCUUUAACAUUAUUGUAGGUGUUCUGUCCACGAUUAUGAUUGUAAAAAAGUGCAGGAUAUUUUUGUAGACUGAAAUAAUAUGAAAUUGGUAUCCCUUGUUCUCAUAUCAAUCCUAGUCGGAUAGAUCAUGUAUAUGUACUUGUGUAGACGAGUUAUGCUGUACAUUGAGAGCCCGGCUAAAACUUGCAUAUCAUUUUAGUUCGAUUGUGUUGAACAUAGCUUCUGCAACUGCGCCUUGGAUUAUAAAUGUUUGCAUAGAAUUCAGUAACUGAAGCAACAUGUCGAUGUCAUUGCGCAACAUUAUACAUAUCACGUUUUGUACAAAGUCCACAACACUUUCAAGUCUGCCUUGGGGGUGAGAAAAAUCCUGCAAGCUGUCGUGCUUAAAAAUACCGCAAGGUGUCACUGUUUCCAUUCAAAUCAUGGUCUUUGCUUUCUAGCUUGGUGAUUCGACUCUCUGUAUGGAAGAACAAUAUCUUACAGAAGCUGUAAGGUACGUUUCUAGGCACAUAAUUAUGUAUAUGUACUCGCUCUGGGUAAUGCAGUUAAUAGAACAAAAUCUUUUUGGACGUGAA